UCGCUGUCGAGCCGGUAAGUUGGUCCCUCGCAUGCUCCCUAGCUAACAUGCUAAUGAACAGUUAGCUCACAUUGUUUAUUCUGGUAAACCGCUAUAAAAGCUGGAUGACACGAGGUGUCCUUUCCGAGGACACUAACCCCUCUAUGUUCAUCGAGUAAGUCAUGUUGAUAUGUUUAUUAGUUUUGUAAAGUUAGUCUGCCGCACGCUGUCUAAAUGGUAGAAAAACUUGCUGCCAUAGUAAAAUGAACUAUGAAACGGUAAAAUGAACUAUGAAACGGUAAAGCGAACUGAAACGGUAAAGCGAACUAUGAAACGGUAAAGCGAACUAUGAAACGAUAAAGCGAACUAUGAAACGGUAAAGCAAACUAUGAAACGGUAACUAUGAAACGGUAAAGCGAACUAUGAAACGGUAAAGCGAACUAUGAAACGCGAACUAUGAAACGAUAAAGCGAACUAUGAAACGGUAAAGCAAACUAUGAAACGGUAACUAUGAAACGGUAAAGCGAACUAUGAAACGGUAAAGCAAACUAUGAAACGCGAACUAUGAAACGGUAAAGCAAACUAUGAAACGGUAAAGCAAACUAUGAAACGGUAACUAUGAAACGGUAAAGCGAACUAUGAAACGGUAACUAUGAAACGGUAAAGCGAACUAUGAAACGGUAAA
Molecule: long non-coding RNA, 664 nt
Organism: Gasterosteus aculeatus aculeatus (three-spined stickleback)
Lineage: Eukaryota; Metazoa; Chordata; Actinopteri; Perciformes; Gasterosteidae
Source: Ensembl